UACGUAGGGUGCGAGCGUUGUCCGGAAUUACUGGGCGUAAAGAGCUCGUAGGUGGUUUGUCGCGUUGUCCGUGAAAACUCACAGCUCAACUGUGGGCGUGCGGGCGAUACGGGCAGACUGGAGGUAUGCAGGGGAGAACGGAAUUCCUGGUGUAGCGGUGAAAUGCGUAGAUAUCAGGAGGAACACCGGUGGCGAAGGCGGGUCUCUGGGCCGAUACUGACGCUGAGGAGCGAAAGCGUGGGGAGCGAACAGG
This 253-nucleotide ribosomal RNA is filed under the name uncultured bacterium. RNAcentral's name for it is "partial 16S ribosomal RNA". It matches the Rfam family "Bacterial small subunit ribosomal RNA", at positions 524 to 776 of the family's 1533-position model. The record is from RNAcentral.